RNAcentral lists this ribosomal RNA (479 nucleotides) under uncultured bacterium. Its description in RNAcentral is "partial 16S ribosomal RNA". It matches the Rfam family "Bacterial small subunit ribosomal RNA", at positions 28 to 507 of the family's 1533-position model. The record is from RNAcentral.
GAUGAACGCUAGCGGGAGGCCUAACACAUGCAAGCCGAGCGGUAUUGUUUCUUCGGAAAUGAGAGAGCGGCGUACGGGUGCGUAACACGUGUGCAACCUGCCUUUAUCUGGGGGAUAGCCUUUCGAAGGGAAGAUUAAUACUCCAUAAUAUAUUGAACGGCAUCGUUUAAUAUUGAAAGCUCCGGCGGAUAGAGAUGGGCACGCGCAAGAUUAGCUAGUUGGUGAGGUAACGGCUCACCAAGGCGAUGAUCUUUAGGGGGCCUGAGAGGGUGAUCCCCCACACUGGUACUGAGACACGGACCAGACUCCUACGGGAGGCAGCAGUGAGGAAUAUUGGUCAAUGGGUGCAAGCCUGAACCAGCCAUCCCGCGUGAAGGACGACUGCCCUAUGGGUUGUAAACUUCUUUUGUAUAGGGAUAAACCUACCCUCGUGAGGGUAGCUGAAGGUACUAUACGAAUAAGCACCGGCUAACUCCGUG